This 3043-nucleotide long non-coding RNA is filed under the name Malus domestica (apple). Its description in RNAcentral is "long non-coding RNA (MDOM_LNC000615)". The record is from RNAcentral. Lineage: Eukaryota; Viridiplantae; Streptophyta; Magnoliopsida; Rosales; Rosaceae.
GUUUUCAUGCUUCAUGGGUCGUUUCAAAUAUCUUCCUUUAUUUUAAGCGUACCUGAGUAGCAGAAAACGAAUAAGCCUUUGAAUUUGUAGAAGAUCAUUCUCCGAAAGCCGAAAUUGCAUCUCCAAUUCGUUGUAUCACGUUCAACAUAGAAAAAUUAAAUUGAAUCAAUAGCAUGUAGAUCAAUUCAAUAAAAUAAUUAAAUUAAUCAUGAAAAGAAUGAUUAAAGACGUAAUACUCCCCAGAUUGAAGAUCAAACUCUCUUGUCAGCGCAGCGUCAAGAGUGUGUUGAUAACGUGUUGUAGGCAUAAUUUACUGAACAAUUAUGGAGGCCAUAGAGAGAGAGGGGUGCGGCAUGGAUAGAGAGAAAGAGAGAGAUGUGUAAUUGUGAGGUGUGUGUUAUCUCACCCCAUUGUGCCUUUAUUUAUAGUAGUAGGAAGGGUAAAACCUUUCCCUUUAGGAUUACAACAUUUAAUAGGUAAUCUAAUCCUAAUAGGAAUAUAAGAUACAUUCCCAUAUUUCCUAGGAUUUACACAAUCACCUUCCUAUUCUAAAUAGGACUGCAACAGCCACAACAAUAUAGGCCCUUUAUGCAAAGGGAUUCUCAUUUUUUUUUUCAAAAAAUAGGGAUUAGGUGUGGGGCCCACUCCACAUCGAACUUCAAUGAUCCGAAACCGUCUAUUUUGUAAGUCUCGUUUCAUAGAUCAUCCUUACAAAAAUUCAAUUCAAUACGAAACCAUUUGCCUAUUUAAUUAUCAAGAUAAAAUUUCAUUGUUUCUUAUAUAACAAAGUAAUCGUUAAUUUCUUUGAACUCAAUUAGAUGUCUUAAACAUUUCCGAUUUGGCUAAUACUUUGGAAGGAUGAUCUAUGAGGUGCAACUUGAAAAAUAGACCGUUCAGAUCGUUAAAGUUUGAUGUGGUGUGGACUCUACAACUAAUCCCCAUUUUUAUAACAAAAUGAGAAUCUCUUCCCUUAGGUUUCAUAUAUAUGGUUUUGACCCUUGAGACUGUUAGUUACUGCAUGAUGCCUUGAUGGAGUUUGUUGCAGCCUUUACUUCUCGUGUAGCUAUCCAACCGUUUGAUGCGCACACACACACAUUUUGACAAUACUUUUACACUUCCUUUGAACCAUUAGAUUUUAUAACAUCCAAGGAUCUUGAUUAAGAGUGUUUUAAAUCUCUUUAAUCAUUAAAUGAUAAGGAUGCUUACAUGGAAUUAAUUAAAUUAAAAAAUAUGAAGAGGAAAAAAAAAAAAAAAUCUGCAAACGUGAGAGAUGAAGAAGCACAAUCAUCCCUCCCCGCCAGCAACCAUAACCCAAUUACAAUUAACAGUAGUCUUACAUAAGCAAGAAGAGAUCUAAGAUUUUCCAUUAAUUCAUUUGUUAUCUAAAGUUCUGAACGAGUAACUGGAAAACUUCCUUGGUUAAUCAAGGACAUGCUUAAGAAAUUGAAAGUAGAUCAAUUUUAGGGUUUUAAAACUCCAUCCUAUGCAGAUUUUGAUUUUCCGGUAAGAUAUUCUUGCAACACUUGUCGGUUAAUAGCCUUAAUUCUUUCAUCUCCAUCGCCUUUUUCCUUCGUAAGUAGUCUACACUAAUUUUAUCCCUUCUCUAUCCUUUUUUUCAAUCCCACAUCAUGGGAGUUGGAAUCAAAGGGUCAUCAUCGACUACCAUCCAUGAAUUUGUGCAACGUAAGGAAAUGGUAGCAGCAUAAAAUGCCCAUGAGAUGAGACAUCAGUGAAAUUAGGGUGGAGAACAAAGGAAUGUGGAAGGGAGAUGGAAACUGGAAAGUUGUUUUAUAUUUUUCUCAUAAUAAUUUAAUUUAAUUUAAAUGUAAUUUAUGUUUACUUAUUUCCAUGCAAUUGCACAUCACCUACUAGUUUAAUACUUAUUAUGACCAUUAUAUAUAUCAAACGGUUGGAUAGCUACAUGAGAAGUAAAGGCUGCAGCAAACUCCAUCAAGGCAUCAUGCAGUAACUAACAGUCUCAAGGGUCAAAACUCCUCUCUACUCAUAUACCAAUUAAAAAUGUAUAGAAAUUAAGAAAUCUUUUCCAACUUCUUGUAUUCCCUUUCGCAGAAGCUAAGAUCCCGGUCAGCUAAUCAAUAUUUAUACCAGUACUGAUAGGAAUAUCUUACCCAACGGCUCAGUCCUCUCUGGACGUAUUACAUGGUGUGUCUCUAUUGUUUUUAUAUCCAAAAAAUUGAUAAAUACAGCCAACAAGAUAAGAACAUGUAAUUGACUUACAUGGUCCUCAUUGAAAGGUCGGCAUUCGUAAUAUGACUUAAGCUACCUAUGUACCAUUAGAAUGAGAGGUCCUUACAAAGAAAACAGCUUUAAUCAUUGAAAAUGGGUCAAGUACAUACAGAGAUCAAGUGGCUUGUACCCCAAAAAAAAAAAAAAAGCUAAAAGAGUUUGACAAUUAUUUUAAUUUCAAUUUUUUUUUAUUUGAAAAAACUAAAACUUGUUAUAAACAUUGUAUUUAAGUGUGAUUGUGUAAAUCUAUAUUAGAUUUGAUACUUGUUAUUCUUCCCUAUUAGGACUUGUAUUCCUUGGAGGAAAAGGAUUCGUCCCUCCCUUAUUACUAUAAAUAAAGCCACUGCAUAGGGGGAACAACACAUCCUCUACACAACCCUUCAAACACAUCUCUCUCUACUCUCUCUCUGUCGUGCCCCUUCUCCUCUGUUAGAUAAAAAUAAGCCACAACACAUAAUUAGCACACUCCCACCGCUACGCUUAGGAAUCUGAUGUGGAAGUUUUCUACAUCAAACUAGUUCAUCAAUAUCAUCACACAAUCAGGUUCUUCCAAAAUAACGGUUUUUAUUUUGAUAUUUUUGUAGCCUGAUAGCAUGAACAUUGACCAUCAUGAAAGACCUAACUUUACGUUUUUCAAAUUUUAGAUUCUACAUAAAUUGUGUACGCAUUAUAUUCAUAAUUAUUGAAUUAUGUGAAUUGGUAUUGCCAUGAAUUGCAUCAAAUAUAUGCUCAUGCAUUAAAUUAUAUGUUGAAUAUGCAUUGAAUUAAUAUGGAAUUAAAUUAAACAUUACAAAAA